UACGUAGGGCGCAAGCGUUGUCCGGAAUUAUUGGGCGUAAAGAGCUCGUAGGCGGCUUGUCGCGUCGGAUGUGAAAGCCCAUGGCUUAACUGUGGGUCUGCAUCCGAUACGGGCAGGCUAGAGGGUGGUAGAGGCGAGUGGAAUUCCCGGUGUAGCGGUGAAAUGCGCAGAUAUCGGGAGGAACACCAGUAGCGAAGGCGGCUCGCUGGGCCAUACCUGACGCUGAGACGCGAAAGCGUGGGGAGCAAACAGG
RNAcentral lists this ribosomal RNA (253 nucleotides) under uncultured bacterium. RNAcentral describes it as "partial 16S ribosomal RNA". It matches the Rfam family "Bacterial small subunit ribosomal RNA", at positions 524 to 776 of the family's 1533-position model. The record is from RNAcentral.